GAUCAUGAAGAAAGUAAAGAGGUUGAAUGGGUAAAAACCAUUGCGGAAGAAUAUCUGUUAAAAGAAAUAUUUACUGAAUCGACCGACAAUGGUUUAAUAGAUUGGUGUUCUGAAGGUACUGCUGAUGAUGUAGUCCCACCUAUUUUAGAUAAUUCAGAUGUCAUGAUGGUCAAUGGGUGGAGAUCGAGAAUAGAGAAAUUCGAGCAGUUCCCCUCACAAGGAAAGAAAAUUGUACAAUCUCGGAAACAAGGAUCCAUACUUGAGCUGAAACCCUUACCAAGGGAACUCAAGUAU
This 294-nucleotide long non-coding RNA is filed under the name Phoenix dactylifera (date palm). Its description in RNAcentral is "long non-coding RNA (PDAC_LNC013188)". Lineage: Eukaryota; Viridiplantae; Streptophyta; Magnoliopsida; Arecales; Arecaceae. The record is from RNAcentral.